This 497-nucleotide ribosomal RNA is filed under the name uncultured bacterium. RNAcentral's name for it is "partial 16S ribosomal RNA". It matches the Rfam family "Bacterial small subunit ribosomal RNA", at positions 28 to 507 of the family's 1533-position model. The record is from RNAcentral.
GAUGAACGCUGGCGGCGUGCCUAAUACAUGCAAGUCGAGCGAACGGACGAGAAGCUUGCUUCUCUGAUGUUAGCGGCGGACGGGUGAGUAACACGUGGAUAACCUACCUAUAAGACUGGGAUAACUUCGGGAAACCGGAGCUAAUACCGGAUAAUAUUUUGAACCGCAUGGUUCAAAAGUGAAAGACGGUCUUGCUGUCACUUAUAGAUGGAUCCGCGCUGCAUUAGCUAGUUGGUAAGGUAACGGCUUACCAAGGCAACGAUGCAUAGCCGACCUGAGAGAGUGAUAGGCCACACGGGAGCUGAGACACGGUCCAGACUCCUACGGGAGGCAGCAGUAGGGAAUGGUCCGCAAUGGGCGAAAGCCUGACGGAGCAACGCCGCGUGAGUGAUGAAGGUCUUCGGAUCGUAAAACUCUGUUAUUAGGGAAGAACAUAUGUGUAAGGAACUGUGCACAUCGUGACGGUACCUAAUCAGAAAGCCACGGCUAACUACGUG